Molecule: ribosomal RNA, 429 nt
Filed under: Gemmatimonadota bacterium
Lineage: Bacteria; Pseudomonadati; Gemmatimonadota
Description: Gemmatimonadetes bacterium partial 16S ribosomal RNA
Rfam family: Bacterial small subunit ribosomal RNA
Source: RNAcentral
UAGGGAAUCUUCGGCAAUGGACGAAAGUCUGACCGAGCAACGCCGCGUGAGUGAAGAAGGUUUUCGGAUCGUAAAACUCUGUUGUUAGCGAAGAACAAGGACGUUAGUAACUGAACGUCACCUGACGGUAUCUAACCAGAAAGCCACGGCUAACUACGUGCCAGCAGCCGCGGUAAUACGUAGGUGGCAAGCGUUGUCCGGAUUUAUUGGGCGUAAAGCGCGCGCAGGCGGUUUCUUAAGUCUGAUGUGAAAGCCCCCGGCUCAACCGGGGAGGCUCAUUGGAAACUGGGAGACUUGAGUACAGAAGAGGAGAGUGGAAUUCCAUGUGUAGCGGUGAAAUGCGUAGAUAUAUGGAGGAAUACCAGUGGCGAAGGCGGCUCUCUGGUCUGUAACUGACGCUGAGGCUCGAAAGCGUGGGGAGCAAACAGG